GAACGCUGGCGGCAUACUUACACAUGCAAGUCGAACGGCAGCACGGGUGCUUGCACCUGGUGGCGAGUGGCGAACGGGUGAGUAAUACAUCGGAACAUGUCCUGUAGUGGGGGAUAGCCCGGCGAAAGCCGGAUUAAUACCGCAUACGAUCUAUGGAUGAAAGCGGGGGACCUUCGGGCCUCGCGCUAUAGGGUUGGCCGAUGGCUGAUUAGCUAGUUGGUGGGGUAAAGGCCUACCAAGGCGACGAUCAGUAGCUGGUCUGAGAGGACGACCAGCCACACUGGGACUGAGACACGGCCCAGACUCCUACGGGAGGCAGCAGUGGGGAAUUUUGGACAAUGGGCGAAAGCCUGAUCCAGCAAUGCCGCGUGUGUGAAGAAGGCCUUCGGGUUGUGAAGCACUUUUGUCCGGAAAGAAAUCCUUGGUUCUAAUAUAGCCGGGGGAUGACGGUACCGGAAGAAUAAGCACCGGCUAACUACGUGCCAGCAGCCGCGGUAAUACGUAGGGUGCGAGCGUUAAUCGGAAUUACUGGGCGUAAAGCGUGCGCAGGCGGUUUGCUAAGACCGAUGUGAAAUCCCCGGGCUCAACCUGGGAACUGCAUUGGUGACUGGCAGGCUAGAGUAUGGCAGAGGGGGGUAGAAUUCCACGUGUAGCAGUGAAAUGCGUAGAGAUGUGGAGGAAUACCGAUGGCGAAGGCAGCCCCCUGGGCCAAUA
RNAcentral lists this ribosomal RNA (714 nucleotides) under uncultured beta proteobacterium. RNAcentral's name for it is "bacterial SSU rRNA". It matches the Rfam family "Bacterial small subunit ribosomal RNA", at positions 31 to 739 of the family's 1533-position model. Lineage: Bacteria; Pseudomonadati; Pseudomonadota; Betaproteobacteria. The record is from RNAcentral.